UACGAAGGGUGCAAACGUUGCUCGGAAUCAUUGGGCGUAAAGCGCGCGUAGGCGGCUUGGCAAGUCGGAUGUGAAAUCCCUCGGCUCAACCAAGGAAGUGCAUCCGAAACUGCUGAGCUUGAGUACUUAAGAGGAUCGCGGAAUUCCCGGUGUAGAGGUGAAAUUCGUAGAUAUCGGGAGGAACACCAGUGGCGAAGGCGGCGAUCUGGGAAGAUACUGACGCUGAGGUGCGAAAGCGUGGGGAGCAAACAGG
RNAcentral lists this ribosomal RNA (253 nucleotides) under uncultured bacterium. Its description in RNAcentral is "partial 16S ribosomal RNA". It matches the Rfam family "Bacterial small subunit ribosomal RNA", at positions 524 to 776 of the family's 1533-position model. The record is from RNAcentral.